Molecule: ribosomal RNA, 596 nt
Filed under: Paraconiothyrium brasiliense
Lineage: Eukaryota; Fungi; Ascomycota; Dothideomycetes; Pleosporales; Didymosphaeriaceae
Description: eukaryotic LSU rRNA
Rfam family: 5.8S ribosomal RNA (bases 248-401)
Source: RNAcentral
GUAACAAGGUUUCCGUAGGUGAACCUGCGGAAGGAUCAUUAUCUAUUCCAUGAGGUGCGGUCGCGGCCCUCGGCGGGAGCAACAGCUACCGUCGGGCGGUAGAGGUAACACUUUCACGCGCCGCAUGUCUGAAUCCUUUUUUUACGAGCACCUUUCGUUCUCCUUCGGUGGGGCAACCUGCCGUUGGAACCUAUCAAAACCUUUUUUUGCAUCUAGCAUUACCUGUUCUGAUACAAACAAUCGUUACAACUUUCAACAAUGGAUCUCUUGGCUCUGGCAUCGAUGAAGAACGCAGCGAAAUGCGAUAAGUAGUGUGAAUUGCAGAAUUCAGUGAAUCAUCGAAUCUUUGAACGCACAUUGCGCCCCUUGGUAUUCCAUGGGGCAUGCCUGUUCGAGCGUCAUCUACACCCUCAAGCUCUGCUUGGUGUUGGGCGUCUGUCCCGCCUCUGCGCGCGGACUCGCCCCAAAUUCAUUGGCAGCGGUCCUUGCCUCCUCUCGCGCAGCACAUUGCGCUUCUCGAGGUGCGCGGCCCGCGUCCACGAAGCAACAUUACCGUCUUUGACCUCGGAUCAGGUAGGGAUACCCGCUGAACUUAA